Astatotilapia calliptera (eastern happy) is the source of this 755-nucleotide long non-coding RNA. The record is from Ensembl. NCBI's taxonomy places the organism in Eukaryota, Metazoa, Chordata, Actinopteri, Cichliformes, Cichlidae.
UUUUUGAGUUAGACCACUUUGAGCCAUGUUUUUCUUUGCCACCAAAAGAAUGCAAAGAACUGAAUUUAAUAAUUGGUGCAGUGACCCGGAUUCUUUUGCGGCUGAGAGGACUAAUUCGGAGCUUAAGGUACAAUCUGAUAUGAGGCGGACAACAGACCGGUCUAAAAAGAUUUAAAGGACGGCGGUGUGACCCCCAGGAGUGCACACAAGUUCAGAGGUGAGAACCUCCCCCUUCGCUCCGGUAUCUCAGUUGACCACACUGCCAAGACUUGGGACCUUGGUUAAUUGUCAGUGGUCAGGGACCACUUUAGUGCGCUGUUUGGUUGAAGAAGCGGGGCUUCAGGCGUGACCACUUCAACGUGGAUUGACCGGUAAAACUUUAAGUAAAGCUUCAGGCCGCAGUUAAAUACUGGACGCUAGUUAAGUGGAGUUAUUGGUCAAGCUGCGGGGAGCGCUUUUAAAUUAACAUAGGACUUAGAAAUCUGGCCCCUUUGUCCCGGACAGAGAAGGGUGUAUUGACCAGCAAGGUGGGCAAACCUGGGCUUAGAGGCUUUUAAAUUAAGUCAAAAUGGUAGGAUGACUAGUACUAAAGGAAGAUGAUGUGAAGUUGUGAUUUGGAAAGGAAAAUUAUUUAUCUUGGCAGUCGGUGUCUUUAUAAAUGUGUGAAUGUAUAAAUGAAGUGUAAAAUUGUUAUUUGGAUGAAUGAUUAAAGGUGCACAUUGUUUUGAGAGAAAAGGGUGUGGUAUGUGUGUGUG